UCUCCGUAGGUGAACCUGCGGAGGGAUCAUUACAGAGUUCAUGCCCUACCGGGUAGAUCUCCCACCCUAUGUUAUUAUUACUUUGUUGCUUUGGCGGGCCGUUAGGCUCCGGCCCGACUACCGGCCCCGGCUGGUAAGCGCCCGCCAGAGGACCCAAAACCCUGAAUAUUAGUGUCGUCUGAGUACUAUAUAAUAGUGAAAACUUUCAACAACGGAUCUCUUGGUUCUG
This 229-nucleotide unclassified non-coding RNA is filed under the name plant metagenome. Its description in RNAcentral is "partial contains small subunit ribosomal RNA, internal transcribed spacer 1, and 5.8S ribosomal RNA". The record is from RNAcentral.